UACAGAGGUCCCGAGCGUUGUUCGGAUUCACUGGGCGUAAAGGGUGCGUAGGUGGUGGGGUAAGUCGGAUGUGAAAUCUCGGAGCUCAACUCCGAAAUGGCAUUGGAAACUACCCUGCUGGAGGUUUGGAGGGGGGACUGGAAUUCUCGGUGUAGCAGUGAAAUGCGUAGAUAUCGAGAGGAACACCAGUGGCGAAGGCGCACAUCUGGCCCGAUACUGACGCUGAGGCGCGAAAGCUAGGGGAGCAAACGGG
Molecule: ribosomal RNA, 253 nt
Filed under: uncultured bacterium
Lineage: Bacteria
Description: partial 16S ribosomal RNA
Rfam family: Bacterial small subunit ribosomal RNA
Source: RNAcentral